UCGGCUCGUGGCUUCGUUCCUGUUGAGCCUACGUCAUUGUCGCUGCUCCUCGUGUGGCCAGGGCUACCAAUUCCACGGCAAUCAUCAAGGAGUCCAAGUGUUCAAUAAUUGCUCCAGCAGAUCUUCGUGGUCUUUGGUCAACAUCUUGCAGUCAAAAAAAGAAGAGUAACAAGCGUCCAUAAGCAAAGGGAGAAGAAGACAAAGGAGGAGUCUUUGCUUCGUCCAAUAGGAGGGGGGCUUUGUCUCUCUUCCCUGGUCAACACCGAGCACACAAUAAUCCAGAGAGAGAAUAGAGGCUAGAGCGAGGUAUUUUCUUCGAGGUCUCGGCUUCACGACUCCUCCCACUGCGACGCUGUGCUCCUGCUAGCUACAGCGCUUCCCGUAUUGGACCGAGUGAACGAGCCGCAGUCCUGAUCUUCACCACCACCAACCGUGAUCUACUCCAGCUACUUGUGAACAGCAGUCCAAGAGUCCCUCAGUUGGCCUUCUCAACAUCGACGCCGAUCCUUGCCUCGUUUCGCUGAGUUGUUGUUUAU
RNAcentral lists this long non-coding RNA (536 nucleotides) under Eucalyptus grandis. RNAcentral's name for it is "long non-coding RNA (EGRA_LNC000682)". Lineage: Eukaryota; Viridiplantae; Streptophyta; Magnoliopsida; Myrtales; Myrtaceae. The record is from RNAcentral.